This 532-nucleotide long non-coding RNA is filed under the name Homo sapiens (human). RNAcentral describes it as "HSALNT0181479". Lineage: Eukaryota; Metazoa; Chordata; Mammalia; Primates; Hominidae. The record is from RNAcentral.
CUGGGCUGGAAGUGUCCUAAACUGACCAGUAGUUGUGCCAUAUAAAGGGAUAAGAGGUCAGUGGGAGUGGAUGAUGGAUGGCAUAAACCUGGCCAUUGCAAUAUGAGCAUGCUGGCUGUAUUGACACGAGGCUGACCCAGACAGACUUUGACCUUAGUUUGAUCUCCCACCAUUCAAGAAAAGCUUCCUUCAGCUUCAAAUGGCCUUACUUGGAGCUCAGCUGUACAGAAAGGGUCCACACAGGUGAACUGAUACCAUGGAGACUCCCAAGACCAUGGCCUGGGUGCUCAAUCCUCACGGACACCCAUGGAGCCCUCCAGAGCCACCUGAUCCUCCCUCCUCAGAAGAUCUGCAUUCCCUGGGGUUCAGGUAAAACCUCAUUAACGUAACUGCAACAAUGAAGACAUUACCUAGACGUGCUGGCUUCCUCUUUGCCUUCCUCCAUGAUGUAAGUUUCCUGAGGACUCCCCAGCCAUGCUUCCUGUACAGCCUGUGGAACUGUGAACCAAUUAAACCUUUUUUCUUUAUAAAU